CCCGUCAUUGUGACCCCCUCACUGGGACCUCUCAUUGUGACGCCUCAAUGUGACCUCUCAGUGGGACCCCAUCACUGUGACCCCUCCCUGGGACCCUCAUGCACAGCCUGGUAUCGGGGGACUGAGUCUCCACAGUGGAGUCAGAAGUCCCUCUCCAGGAGCGCCAAUCUACACCCCACCCAACACGGCCUUGACGUCCGAGAACCCCUUGUUCUUGCUGCAGCACUGCACCCACAGUUCCCAAACCUCACGACACCCGCAACUCGCUGGGGUGAAUUCUGGAAACAGGGCGAGUUGGGCACAGUGUCCAAUUCCACUGCUCCAAAACACCCCUAAGACAAUGGCCAGGGCUCCUUUAAGGGUUUAGUCCAUGAGGAGAAGAGACUAGGAAGAAGACAGUGGACACAGGAGGAGGAGAAACUUCUGGAAGAUGGAAGCUGAUCAACUCUCCAUCCAGACAGCUUUGCCAAUUUAAAACGGGACAAAUGGGAAGGAAGAAAGCCUUCGUGAGCAGAGAGGGAGAGCUGGAAGACGCAGAAGGCCACCAGGAGCCUGGGAACCACGGGGAAUACAUUCAGUUGGUUUGAAUUAUCGUUUGCUUUGACUCAGGGAGAGAAGUUGGAAGUGUCAUGGGUGUGGGCCUGCGUGUCCCGCCCCCUGCCAGCACCCCUGCUGUGGAGGCCUUCUCAGGAGCACAGAGCCCUGCUCGUCAGUAUUGAUCAGUUCUGCAGUCUCUGGUCAGCUCAGAAUACCAGGAGCCUGUUUGUCCCUGAGGCAGCCUCCAAAGAUGGGCUGCCACACUGGGAGCAACCUGGGGACUCCCCAGGAGGAGGCCACAAAACGUCUGGAGUCAUGGGAGCUUCCUGGGCACAAUUACCCCUGCCUGCCUUCCAGGAACUCUUAAAACUACGUAAGCUUCAUAUGCCUGCAGGACUGCUGACCCUUCUGGCUUUCCAAUCAUUCUACUUUCAUUUGUAUCAGCUGGAAAGUGGGUCCCAUUAAACAAAAACCAGAGCAGCUCCGGCUCGGCCCUCACCCAAGCACCAGACUCAGCAGAGGUGCCAGAGGUUGCUAGUGCCAGCCAACCUCAUAGACACUGACAAGGGAGAGUGGAGCAACAACGGCGGUAGACACACACGUCCCCCUCUGGACUGCCCACACUGCCCUGAUGCUUUAUGUAAAUCGCUACCUUCAACCCAUCCAAACCCCCCACGGCCUGCCCGCCGUUUUCAUCUCCCUCGUCCACUGUAUCCGGGUAAAACAGCGUCUUCUCUGAGGACAGGGCUGGGUCUCCUCCUGUCGGCUGAAAUUCCCUUGCCAAAUAUAGCAAAUGGGAUCUACAAAAAAAAAACGGUGAGAGAUUCAAGCAGCUCUGGCAAAUUAGACCAAGUAAAUUGUGCUGUCCCAUCCUGAAAGCGUGCUGGGCUUUCCCGUGACGCUGCACUGCAGGCAGAGCCCCCAGCGGCAGCGGACCGAGGGCUCUCCCUCCCUCGCCCUGCCUCCUCACUAAUCCUAUUCCACAACAACGUUUCCUCGACAGUGAAAAAAUCCACCCAGUGGUGUCCAGAUGCUCGAAAGAUCCUGUGAACAGUGUCUGGGUAGUUGAAAAAUAUUUCAAUCUUCACUUGGAUGUUGAGUUUCAUAAUUUCAACUGAAAACAGCCCCAAUUCAGGCUCCCCUGCAGCCAGCCAGCCAAAACCUGCCUCGGAAAUCCUCCUUUUCCAAUCUUUGUCUCAUCAGCCCUGCGAAAAUAAACUUGGCUGGUUGGGACACAUAACAAACCCUGCCAUAGCCAGGUGCCUGUCUGUGUCCCAGGGCCUUCCCAGCCGCUUGCCUCCAUCUAGAUUGCGAAGUGAGGUGUGAACGCACCUCCUGACCCCCACCCUCUCAGCAAUUAUUCCACUGCUUAAUGGAAAUGACAAGCCAGAAGCUUAUACGGAAUUAAUAAUGCAUUAAUAACUGCUAUGAUCUGGGAAACCAAACAGGCGGUGUUUUAAUAACAGAAUCAAUAGUUACUUGAAGCGAUGCUGGUUUAUUUUCCACGUACGGAGAUGGAGCGUGAGCUGCUGCAUUUUUAUCUUAGCUGGAAGUGUCAUCUUUCCCCUCACAGACGGGUUGCGUCACUGUCCUGGGUGAAUUUCCCUCAGCUUUUGUUUGUUGGUUUGUCUCAUUGUUUUCAUGAAAAGAAACUAUACGGCAUGAAACAUAUUAUUUAAAAACAUCACCUUCCUACAAGCCACGUCUCUGUCAGAUGUUCCAAAAUAGAACUCAUUUGCGUUCUUCUAACGCUCGGUACCGUCAGCCCAUCACACAGUCGGUCCCUGAGCGGCGGAAAUCCCCCGUGACUCCGCGGCUGUGCGCGUCGCCGUUUACCGUGCGGGAGGCCCAGGCUGCGUCUGCACAGACAGAAAGGAGGAAACCAGCCAAAGGACUCAGGCCGGGAAGAGACAGUCACCCUGCCCUGUUUUGCCUCAAUUAUCUGGGAUUUUGCUUGUUUCAUCCAAUGAAUUACCUCCAUUUUCACAUCACCCUCUAUAGGUAGACCCGGGCGAAACCUGAUCUUCUGGGCUUUUUUAUUUUGCUUUCUUUUAAAUUCUAAGACAACUGCUAUUGCCUAUGAUUGUUGUCUCUACGUGACCCUAACAGAAUAGGUGACCCACACCUCUUUAUUAAAACAGUUCCCGAGAUUCUGAAAACAAAACAUCCAUAGCAUUCCCUCAAAAAAAGAAAGGAUCAGACUUCAGACAAACAGAACAUUCUGGAAGCAGUUUUAGUAGAUUAUUCCAUCAAUCCAUUACUUCAGCGUCCUGUGUCUCUGACAUUCUUUGGGCUGACCCGGCCACCACUCAAUAAACACUCUGACGUGGGGUGGCAAAUGUAAUUUUCACCUAAACAGCUUUGUCCUCAUUCUGGAAGAAAGACUUUGCCUCUUUGAAAUAAAGUUCGUUUUCUCUCCUUUCUUUCUUUUAAUAAUUGAGAGUCUCUCCGUGGUGGUGAGAGAUUACCUGCUGGCUGAGGCAGGUAAUAACAGGUAUUUUCAAUCGUUGACUUUCCAGAAACUCGGUUUAUUGUUUUUAGUGCUGUCUGAGUCCCAGAGCCAGCACAUUCUGCUCCGUUGUGUCGUGAAGGUGAAGCGGCCGUGUCUGUGAACCCACGGCACCCUGCCUGGUCUGUGUGUG
RNAcentral lists this long non-coding RNA (3179 nucleotides) under Equus asinus (donkey). RNAcentral describes it as "lncRNA (ENSEASG00005028055.1)". Lineage: Eukaryota; Metazoa; Chordata; Mammalia; Perissodactyla; Equidae. The record is from RNAcentral.